RNAcentral lists this transfer RNA (68 nucleotides) under Psilodens balduri. RNAcentral describes it as "tRNA-Glu". Lineage: Eukaryota; Metazoa; Mollusca; Caudofoveata; Limifossorida; Limifossoridae. The record is from RNAcentral.
AUUUUAGUAGUGUAAACAAAAACACGUAAAGAUUUCAACUUUUCAAUUCAAUUUUUUAGACUAAAACC